RNAcentral lists this ribosomal RNA (407 nucleotides) under uncultured bacterium. Its description in RNAcentral is "partial 16S ribosomal RNA". It matches the Rfam family "Bacterial small subunit ribosomal RNA", at positions 30 to 526 of the family's 1533-position model. The record is from RNAcentral.
AUUGAACGCUAGCGGGAUGCCUUACACAUGCAAGUCGAACGGAGUGGCGAACGGGUGAGUAAUGUAUCGGACAGUGCCCAGUAGCGGGGGAUAAAUACGCGAAAGCGUAGCUAAUAACGCAUACCAUUGGAACGGCCGAUAUUGGAUUAGCUAGUUGGUGGGGUAACGGCUCACCAAGGCGAAGCACCAUAGCGGGUUUGAGAGUUUGACCAGCCACACUGGGACUGAGACAGGGCCCAGACGCCUACGGGAGGCAGCAGUGGGGAAUUUUGGACAAUGGGGGAAACCCUGAUCCAGCCAUCCCGCUUGGGCGAUGAAGGCCUUCGGGUUGUAAAGCACUUUUGGCAGGAAAGCGGUACCUGCAGAAUAAGCACCGGCUAACUACGUGCCAGCAGCCGCGGUAAUAC